CUAUGAUCGAAAGCUUGUGAUAAAUAAGAGAGAGAGAGGGAGAGAGAGUAGUAGUAAGAACAUGAACUUACAAGCUUAUCUCGCACAGUCCUGAUGAACUCCUCGAGCUCGGAGGCUACAAUCACCAAAGGUAAAAACAAUAUCAACUAGAGAAAACUCACCUUGUUCAUCAAAGAGCACAACAUUUCCCUGUUUCGUGAAUGAUUCAUCAAUGGGGCUUCUGGUGCCGCAAAAACACCUGCCGCUGCUCUCCACAAUUCCUUGGGAAGCUCUCUGGCCCCAAAUGAUGAGCUGCGGCUGAAGAACCCGAGCCGAAUCCCCCAAGAUGCCCGCUCGAUCACGGUGCCGGAGUGGAG
This 356-nucleotide long non-coding RNA is filed under the name Selaginella moellendorffii. Its description in RNAcentral is "long non-coding RNA (SMOE_LNC000729)". The record is from RNAcentral. Lineage: Eukaryota; Viridiplantae; Streptophyta; Lycopodiopsida; Selaginellales; Selaginellaceae.